This 338-nucleotide unclassified non-coding RNA is filed under the name soil metagenome. RNAcentral's name for it is "partial contains 5.8S ribosomal RNA, internal transcribed spacer 2, and large subunit ribosomal RNA". The stretch from base 1 to 119 matches the Rfam family "5.8S ribosomal RNA", at positions 35 to 154 of the family's 154-position model. The record is from RNAcentral.
GAUGAAGACGCAGCGAAAUGCGAUAAGUAAUGUGAAUUGCAGAAUUCAGUGAAUCAUCGAAUCUUUGAACGCACAUUGCGCCCGCCAGUAUUCUGGCGGGCAUGCCUGUCCGAGCGUCAUUUCAACCAUCAAGCCCCCGGGCUUGUGUUGGGGACCUGCGGCUGCCCGCAGGCCCUGAAAACCAGUGGCGGGCUCGCUGUCACACCGAGCGUAGUAGCAAUCACCUCGCUCAGGGCGUGCUGCGGGUUCCGGCCGUUAAACAGCCUUACAAAACCCAAGGUUGACCUCGGAUCAGGUAGGAAGACCCGCUGAACUUAAGCAUAUCAAUAAGCGGAGGA